AUUUAAUUUUCUCUAGUUUGGUUGCCGGCGCGCAAAGCCGAUACAAGCAUUGUGGGAAACAGAGGUUGGCCAGGUGACGACAAAAAAUAAUGGGGUUGGAAGCGGUCACACGUCGUCAUCAUGAGCGGGGAUUGCUGACUCUCAUGAGCUUUCCACACGUGUGAUGUGGACUAGCGAAAGUUGGCAAAGUACAUGCAGGCCAUGGCUUCCUCCAGAAAAGAGGGAUGCUGCCCCAAUGGGUUUACUGCUCAGUUUCCUAGCAGAGAUGUUGGCCUCAAGGGAUACUGCCCUAGGAUACUCCUAGAGUGUCGUAAACUAAGGGAUACUGCCAUCUCUAAAGAGUCAACCAUAAUGCGCGCUAUGAAGGCAAACCACAUGGUAAUAUAUGUAUAUCAGUCUCCAUUAUAACACCUCCCAUGAGUGUUAAACCAAUUAAUUAUCGCCA
Neltuma alba is the source of this 445-nucleotide long non-coding RNA. RefSeq lists it as uncharacterized. The record is from RefSeq and is a predicted model, not a curated record. The transcript is spliced from 2 exons. Lineage: Eukaryota; Viridiplantae; Streptophyta; Magnoliopsida; Fabales; Fabaceae.